CACAUAUCAAUAAGCGGAGGAAAAGAAACCAACAGGGAUUGCCUUAGUAACGGCGAGUGAAGCGGCAACAGCUCAAAUUUGAAAGCUGGCUCCUUCGGAGUCCGCAUUGUAAUUUGUAGAGGAUGAUUCGGCGAGGGCUCCCGCCUAAGUCCACUGGAACGUGGCGUCAUAGAGGGUGAGAAUCCCGUAUGCGGUGGGUUGCCUUAGCCAUGUGAAUCUCCUUCGACGAGUCGAGUUGUUUGGGAAUGCAGCUCUAAAUGGGAGGUAAAUUUCUUCUAAAGCUAAAUACCGGCCAGAGACCGAUAGCGCACAAGUAGAGUGAUCGAAAGAUGAAAAGCACUUUGGAAAGAGAGUUAAAAAGUACGUGAAAUUGUUGAAAGGGAAGGGCUUGCAACCAGACUUGUCCGCAGUUGCUCAGCCGGUCUCCUGACCGGCGUACUCUUCUGCGGCCAGGCCAGCAUCAGUUCGGGCGGUCGGAUAAAGACCUAGGGAAUGUAGCUCCUCUCGGGGAGUGUUAUAGCCCUGGGUGGAAUGCGACCAGCCUGGACUGAGGAUCUCGCUUCGGCAAGGAUGCUGGCGUAAUGGUUGUAAGCCGCCCGUCUUGAAACACGGACCAAGGAGUCUAACAUCUAUGCGAGUGUUUGGGUGUCAAACCCAUACGCGUAAUGAAAGUGAACGGAGGUGGGAACCCGCAAGGGCGCACCAUCGGCCGAUCCUGAUGUCUUCGGAUGGAUUUGAGCAAGAGCAUAGCUGUUGGGACCCGAAAGAUGGUGAACUAUGCCUGAAUAGGGUGAAGCCAGAGGAAACUCUGGUGGAGGCUCGCAGCGGUUCUGACGUGCAAAUCGAUCG
This 849-nucleotide ribosomal RNA is filed under the name Phaeobotryon negundinis. Its description in RNAcentral is "eukaryotic LSU rRNA". It matches the Rfam family "Eukaryotic large subunit ribosomal RNA", at positions 37 to 904 of the family's 3401-position model. The record is from RNAcentral. Lineage: Eukaryota; Fungi; Ascomycota; Dothideomycetes; Botryosphaeriales; Botryosphaeriaceae.